Molecule: unclassified non-coding RNA, 248 nt
Filed under: Hevea brasiliensis (rubber tree)
Lineage: Eukaryota; Viridiplantae; Streptophyta; Magnoliopsida; Malpighiales; Euphorbiaceae
Source: RNAcentral
GCUUAGUCUGUGAAAGCAAUUUCCAAGAACUUUGCUGGCUUGAGCAGUUCUUAGAAAGGACUGGUGCAGCCCCAUCACCAACAGCUUCAAGGCAUAGGCUAGUACCCUUCAGCCUGAUUGGAGCCCCAUUACCAGCAUAAAGCCAUCGUUUCGGUUUCUUGCAGUUGCCUGCAUAUAUAUCGUGUCUACCAUCUGGAUCGACACAGCUGCCACUUUGUGGAUGAAAAAUUAUGUAGGAUGUAGAGGAU